AUCAGAAGUGCGAAUGCUGACAUAAGUAACGAUAAAGCGGGUGAAAAGCCCGCUCGCCGGAAGACCAAGGGUUCCUGUCCAACGUUAAUCGGGGCAGGGUGAGUCGACCCCUAAGGCGAGGCCGAAAGGCGUAGUCGAUGGGAAACGGGUUAAUAUUCCCGUACUUGGUGUUACUGCGAAGGGGGGACGGAGAAGGCUAUGUUGGCCGGGCGACGGUUGUCCCGGUUUAAGCGUGUAGGUGUGUGUUCCAGGUAAAUCCGGUUCACUUUAACACUGAGGCGUGACGACGAGGCACUACGGUGCUGAAGCAACAAAUGCCCUGCUUCCAGGAAAAGCCUCUAAGCCUCAGGUAACAUCAAAUCGUACCCCAAACCGACACAGGUGGUCAGGUAGAGAAUACCAAGGCGCUUGAGAGAACUCGGGUGAAGGAACUAGGCAAAAUGGUGCCGUAA
This 452-nucleotide ribosomal RNA is filed under the name Salmonella enterica subsp. houtenae. RNAcentral describes it as "partial 23S ribosomal RNA". It matches the Rfam family "Bacterial large subunit ribosomal RNA", at positions 1281 to 1733 of the family's 2925-position model. Lineage: Bacteria; Pseudomonadati; Pseudomonadota; Gammaproteobacteria; Enterobacterales; Enterobacteriaceae. The record is from RNAcentral.